GCAGCCUUACUAGAACAGGAUCUGUUCUAUAGGCUUGUACCACUGCAUCUUUGAGUGCUUAUGAGCUUGCUUUAAUUGCAGGGGGUUCACUAAGUUCAGCCGUACCGAUUAUCUGAAA
RNAcentral lists this small nucleolar RNA (118 nucleotides) under Solanum tuberosum (potato). RNAcentral describes it as "snoRNA Plant_U3". Lineage: Eukaryota; Viridiplantae; Streptophyta; Magnoliopsida; Solanales; Solanaceae. The record is from RNAcentral.